AGCGAACGCUGGCGGCAGGCCUAACACAUGCAAGUCGAACGGAUCCUUCGGGAUUAGUGGCGGACGGGUGAGUAACACGUGGGAACGUGCCCUUUGGUUCGGAACAACUCAGGGAAACUUGAGCUAAUACCGGAUGUGCCCUUCGGGGGAAAGAUUUAUCGCCAUUGGAGCGGCCCGCGUCUGAUUAGCUAGUUGGUGAGGUAACGGCCCACCAAGGCGACGAUCAGUAGCUGGUCUGAGAGGAUGAUCAGCCACACUGGGACUGAGACACGGCCCAGACCCCUACGGGAGGCAGCAGUGGGGAAUCUUGCGCAAUGGGCGAAAGCCUGACGCAGCCAUGCCGCGUGAAUGAUGAAGGUCUUAGGAUUGUAAAAUUCUUUCAGCGGGGACGAUAAUGACGGUACCCGCAGAAGAAGCGCCGGCUAACUUCGUG
RNAcentral lists this ribosomal RNA (433 nucleotides) under uncultured bacterium. Its description in RNAcentral is "partial 16S ribosomal RNA". It matches the Rfam family "Bacterial small subunit ribosomal RNA", at positions 29 to 507 of the family's 1533-position model. The record is from RNAcentral.